AUUGAACGCUAGCGGCAUGCCUUACACAUGCAAGUCGAACGGAGUGGCGAACGGGUGCGUAAUGUAUCGGAACGUGCCCAGUAGCGGGGGAUAACUACGCGAAAGCGUAGCUAUAACCGCAUCCUAUUGGCGCGGCCGAUACCGGAUUAGCUAGUUGGGGGGGUAACGGCUAACCAAGGCGACGACCCUUAGCUGGUUUGAGAGGACGACCAGCCACACUGGAACUGAGACACGGCCCAGACUCCUACGGGAGGCAGCAGUGGGGAAUUUUGGACAAUGGGGGAAAGCCUGAUCCAGCCAUGCCGCGUGUGCGAUGAAGGCCUUCGGGUUGUAAAGCACUGUUGGCAGGGAAGCGGUACCUGCAGAAUAAGCACCGGCUAACUACGUGCCAGCAGCCGCGGUAAUUC
Molecule: ribosomal RNA, 407 nt
Filed under: uncultured bacterium
Lineage: Bacteria
Description: partial 16S ribosomal RNA
Rfam family: Bacterial small subunit ribosomal RNA
Source: RNAcentral